AACGCGAAGAACCUUACCCUGUAUGGCGACCGACGACGCCGGGACGUAGAUCGGCUUCAUAGUUGCGUUGGCAGGCUGCAGCCGGACCCGGUCGCCGGCCUCUUUGUAAAAACGUUUGAGUGUAGUUUCCGUGCCAUCGACCAGAGCCACCACGAUCUCGCCAUCGCGAGCUGUGGCGGCGCGCUCGACCAGCACGUAAUCGCCGUCGCAGAUGUGAUCUUCGACCAUCGACUCGCCACGCACCUGCAAGGCGAAAGUAUUGGGGUCGGCGGUGAAGUCGGCGAAACUGACGGUGUCGUUCCCGGGCCUUGUACACACCGGCUAC
Molecule: ribosomal RNA, 325 nt
Filed under: uncultured bacterium
Lineage: Bacteria
Description: partial 16S ribosomal RNA
Source: RNAcentral